UAUUGCACAAUUGAGGAAACUCUGAUGCAGUGACACCGCGUAUAGGAAGAAGGUUUUCGGAUNGUAAACUAUUUUAGACAGGGAANNAANNNGNCAGUACCUGUAGAAUAAGCUCCGGCUAACUACGUGCNNNCNGCCGCGGUAAUACGUAGGGAGCAAGCGUUAUCCGGAAUUAUUGGGUGUAAAGGGUGCGUAGACGGGACAGCAAGUUAGUUGUGAAAGCCCUCGGCUUAACUGAGGAACUGCAACUAAAACUAUUGUUCUUGAGUGCAGGAGAGGAAAGCGGAAUUCCUAGUGUAGCGGUGAAAUGCGUAGAUAUUAGGAGGAACACCAGUGGCGAAGGCGGCUUUCUGGACUGUAACUGACGUUGAGGCACGAAAGUGUGGGGAGCAAACAGG
Molecule: ribosomal RNA, 398 nt
Filed under: uncultured bacterium
Lineage: Bacteria
Description: partial 16S ribosomal RNA
Rfam family: Bacterial small subunit ribosomal RNA
Source: RNAcentral